UUGGAGGGCAAGUCUGGUGCCAGCAGCCGCGGUAAUUCCAGCUCCAAUAGCGUAUAUUAAAGUUGUUGCAGUUAAAAAGCUCGUAGUUGAAUUUCGGGGUUCCACCGUUGGUCGGGCAAUAGUCUGUACUGGCGUGUAGAAUUUCUACCUUCUGGGGAACUAUCAUGUUAUUUAUUUAGCGUGGUAGGAAACCAGGACCUUUACCUUGAAAAAAUUAGAGUGUUCAAAGCAGGCUUACGUCUGAAUACAUUAGCAUGGAAUAAUAAAAUAGGACGGUGGUCCUGUUUUGUUGGUUUCUGAAUCACCGUAAUGAUUAAUAGGGAUAGUUGGGGGCAUUAGUAUUCAAUUGUCAGAGGUGAAAUUCUUGGAUUUAUUGAAGACUAACUUCUGCGAAAGCAUUUGCCAAGGAUGUUUUCAUUAAUCAAGAACGAAAGUUAGGGGAUCGAAGACGAUCAGAUACCGUCGUAGUCUUAACCAUAAACUAUGCCGACUAGGGAUCGGACGAUGUUAAUUUUUCUUGACUCGUUCGGCGCCUUACGGGAAAC
This 545-nucleotide ribosomal RNA is filed under the name uncultured Gigasporaceae. Its description in RNAcentral is "SSU rRNA". It matches the Rfam family "Eukaryotic small subunit ribosomal RNA", at positions 548 to 1098 of the family's 1831-position model. Lineage: Eukaryota; Fungi; Glomeromycota; Glomeromycetes; Diversisporales; Gigasporaceae. The record is from RNAcentral.